ACAACUUUCAACAACGGAUCUCUUGGCUCUUGCAUCGAUGAAGAACGCAGCGAAAUGCGAUAAGUAAUGUGAAUUGCAGAAUUCAGUGAAUCAUCGAAUCUUUGAACGCAUCUUGCACUCCUUGGUAUUCUGAGGAGCAUGCCUGUUUGAGUGUCAUUAAA
This 161-nucleotide ribosomal RNA is filed under the name Amanita sinensis. RNAcentral's name for it is "5.8S ribosomal RNA". It matches the Rfam family "5.8S ribosomal RNA". From Rfam's summary of the family: 5.8S ribosomal RNA (5.8S rRNA) is a component of the large subunit of the eukaryotic ribosome. It is transcribed by RNA polymerase I as part of the 45S precursor that also contains 18S and 28S rRNA. Functionally, it is thought that 5.8S rRNA may be involved in ribosome translocation. Lineage: Eukaryota; Fungi; Basidiomycota; Agaricomycetes; Agaricales; Amanitaceae. The record is from RNAcentral.